RNAcentral lists this ribosomal RNA (482 nucleotides) under Glyphidrilus kotatinggi. RNAcentral's name for it is "partial 16S ribosomal RNA". It matches the Rfam family "Bacterial large subunit ribosomal RNA", at positions 1829 to 2597 of the family's 2925-position model. Lineage: Eukaryota; Metazoa; Annelida; Clitellata; Crassiclitellata; Almidae. The record is from RNAcentral.
UGCCUUUUGAUCUUCUAUAAAAGGUAACUCCUGCCCAGUGAAACAUUUCAACGGCCGCGGUAUCCUAACCGUGCAAAGGUAGCAUAAUCACUUGUCUAUUAAUUGUAGACUAGAAUGAAGGGAUAAACGAAAUAAGCACUGUCUCUACUAGUUUAACAUAAAUUAUACUUUAGAUGAAGAUAUCUAAAUAAAAACGAAGGACAAGAAGACCCUAUAGAGCUUUAUUUUAAUAGAGAUAUAAACUCAAUAAAAAAUUCGGUUGGGGCGACCAAGGGACAUAAAUCACCCUAUAUAAUACAGAUUUAUUAAUCUCAAUUAUGACCCUUUCACAAGAUCAUAAGAACAAGCUACCUUAGGGAUAACAGGCUAAUCUCAUUUAAGAGUCCUUAUCUAUAAUGGGGGUUGGCACCUCGAUGUUGGCUUAGGGUAUCUAUAUGGCGCAAAAGUCAUAAAUAGAUGGUUUGUUCAACCUUUAAUUCCCU